Molecule: ribosomal RNA, 401 nt
Filed under: Escherichia coli
Lineage: Bacteria; Pseudomonadati; Pseudomonadota; Gammaproteobacteria; Enterobacterales; Enterobacteriaceae
Also listed under: 1 other name
Description: partial 23S ribosomal RNA
Rfam family: Bacterial large subunit ribosomal RNA
Source: RNAcentral
CGCUUAGGCGUGUGACUGCGUACCUUUUGUAUAAUGGGUCAGCGACUUAUAUUCUGUAGCAAGGUUAACCGAAUAGGGGAGCCGAAGGGAAACCGAGUCUUAACUGGGCGUUAAGUUGCAGGGUAUAGACCCGAAACCCGGUGAUCUAGCCAUGGGCAGGUUGAAGGUUGGGUAACACUAACUGGAGGACCGAACCGACUAAUGUUGAAAAAUUAGCGGAUGACUUGUGGCUGGGGGUGAAAGGCCAAUCAAACCGGGAGAUAGCUGGUUCUCCCCGAAAGCUAUUUAGGUAGCGCCUCGUGAAUUCAUCUCCGGGGGUAGAGCACUGUUUCGGCAAGGGGGUCAUCCCGACUUACCAACCCGAUGCAAACUGCGAAUACCGGAGAAUGUUAUCACGGGAG